Molecule: small RNA, 2503 nt
Filed under: Rattus norvegicus (Norway rat)
Lineage: Eukaryota; Metazoa; Chordata; Mammalia; Rodentia; Muridae
Description: uncharacterized LOC103694526
Source: RNAcentral
ACAGUGGACUGAAUCUCUGACCUAGAAAGAAAACCAAAGGAUCCGGCCGGGAAAGCAAUCUUCUGGCCUAGAAGCCCCCAGGAGAAAGUGCACACACAGAGUCCAGCAUGAGUGGUCAAGCAUACCUUGAUAUCCAGGAAUAAGGAAGCAGAGGUAUGUAUUUUUUUUUGUUGCUUAUUUUAUUGUAUCCCUUAGUCAUCAUCAUUAAAGGGCCAUAAUUAACUCUCAUAGACAUUAUGAAAACUAAUGAUGUCCAGCUUGUAAGCCUCCUGUCCUCCUUACCCAAAUCCUAGGCUUUUUCUAUAACAAAAUUGCAUUUCUUUUAAACAUUCUUCAUCACUUGUCCAUCCAGCAUAUCCUCAAUGUACCUUUAUUUAUAAUGACUAAGUCUUUCUAAGAAAGUAAAGCCAAUACAAAUUAACUUAGGAGUCAAAUGCAAAUCUAUUCUUCAGGAUCUUCUAUAGAAAGCAUCACGUUCAGAUUUAGAAGAACUGUAUGUGAUUGAGGAUUAGGAUAACACUGAUAUCACAUCUUAUGAUCGACAGAAUAAGGAUGGCAGACAAAAUGAUCUCUCAGGCCCUUGUCAGCUCUUGUGUUCUUUUGUUCAUCAGAUCCAGGAAAAUCACGAAAGGAAAGUGAAAAACAGUUUAGCAAUUGAGAACUAAAGCUAUAAUUUUGCUUUCUCUAGGUAGUGAUUAUAUGAAAGUGGCACUUGUUCUGGAAUAAUUUAUACUACAGUCACACUUAGAGAUAGUUCAGUCCUAUUAAAAGCUCUUAAUGAAAUUAUUAUUCAAAUAAUAAGAUGUUAUUAGAUUUUUUAGUAGUAAUGAUAUUCAUUGUAACAGAAGAUUAAUCUGGCACUAAAAUUUAAGCCCAGCUCCGAGUGUAAGGGUUAUUUCAAUGUGAGAAGAGCAGUUUGCUUAUGAAGAACAUGAUGAGUAAACCCUGCUUUGGAGCAAUGGAAAACAUGCUUGUGUGGGGCUUUUCUGAACACUGAGAAAAACAAUUUCACUUACUGAUUUAAUCAAAACUUCUAAUAAGCGAUGUCAACUCACCCAGUUAAAUAUAAUGUGGACUUUAAUAAUCAGUUAUUUAUUGAAACAAAUUCAAAUGUAUAAUUAGUUACUUCUGCAACUUGUUUACAUGUUGUCUUCUCUGUUCAGCAUUUUACUAUUUGCAGCCAAGGUGCAGUUUUAAGUCUGAUCUUUUUUUUACGUUCUUUUCUUUUUUUUAAAUGUUCUCUGGAUUUGGGAUUAAAUUUGAAAAAUACUCUAUCACUGAGAUUCAUUGCCAAACUUCUUAAAAUUUUGAGACAAAGUUGGCCAUGCAGGUCUUGGACGUGUGAUCCUCUUGAAUCUGCCUUGUACGUAGCUAAGAUUACUGGCCUGUGCUCUAAUACACUAUUUUCAUCAAUGUAGUCUAGGGUGACUGUUAACCAUGUGCUUAUUCAUGGAAAGUGAAGUUCAUCAAUUGUGUGGUGUUUGUGGGCCUUUGAUGAUGGCACACAGAGAUGAAAAGGUGAGUGCUAGGUUACUGGCCAAAGCAUAUUCCUUCAACUAUUCAAUUAUGAUGGGAAUUUCCAUUUAUUUUUCUAUUAUAAUAAUUGCUUAUUAAGUUUCAUAUCCAUUUUUAUAUAUUAUGUUACUAUACUACAACUUAAUGAGAAAUAUUUUGUAUUUUAUAAAGGGUUUACUCUUGUUAUAGAUUUCUGUGUCCUACAAGUGGGAGAAAGAUAUUACAUAUUCUAUAAACAGCUGUAGAAAGUAAGGCUCAGAACUUUGAUCAGACAACUGGUAAAUCAGAGACUUUCAAUUUGUCUAGUGCAAACCCCAUGCACUUUCUACAUAAUUUCAUUACCCCUCCCCAUAAGCAAAGGGCAAUCAAGAAUUUUGAGCAUGUUCACACAUCAAUCACUUUUUAAAAUCAAUAGUGAAAUCAAAGGUUUUCUACAUAAGUUCACUUUGCAUUUGUCAUUCUCAUUUAAAAGAUUCACAAGGUUACUUAACUUUUAAUGUUGCAUAGCAUUUUAGCUUUACGGGAAUGGGCCCCAAUCUCCUUUAAAGACUCCUGAGCCAGUUCAUAGACUAAUUACCAGCUGAGGAAGUUCUCUGUGUGCCGAGGGUCUGCUCAGUAUGAUGAAUGUUCAUCUUUGCUAGGGUGAAUGGAUUGCAAAUGAAGUGAUUAAUUUAAAAAAUCAAUUAGUGUAGAGAGCAAGUAUUUUACUUACAACACCCUCCAGUUUAGAGUAGACCCCUUCAUAAAGCAGUGGUAGCAUAGCAAUAAAACUGAACAGGGAGGAAGCUAUGCCAAGAGAAAAAAAACACAGGGUACACUGAUUGUUCUUCAUCCAGGAGUGGGAGGAAAGUUUCAGUGAGCCAAGAGCUUUCCUUCCUCCACCCUGCUGAGUAAUGAACGCCCUUGACUUGUUCCAUGAUAAGAUUCCAAGAUGAAAACACUUACUUAACUUUGGAUGCUUUCCUGCCUUAUUUUCUCUCUCUCUCUC